GCUAAAUAGCUAGCCCUCUCAUCCAAAUACAACAAACCAAAUUAAUAAACCCCCAUGUACUAAUCAAACACAAACAAAACAUUUUACCCCCUUAGUAUAGGCGAUAGAAAAGGACUUUUAGGCGCAAUAGAAAGAGUACCGCAAGGGAAAGCUGAAAGAGAGAUGAAAAAGUUCAAUUAAAGCACAAAAAAGCAGAGACUUAACCUCGUACUU
This 213-nucleotide ribosomal RNA is filed under the name Pseudocheilinus hexataenia (sixline wrasse). RNAcentral describes it as "partial 16S ribosomal RNA". The record is from RNAcentral. Lineage: Eukaryota; Metazoa; Chordata; Actinopteri; Labriformes; Labridae.